AAGGCGAAACCGCGAAUGGCUCAUUAAAUCAGUUAUGGUUCCUUAGAUCGUUUCUUCCUACUUGGAUAACUGUGGCAAUUCUAGAGCUAAUACAUGCAGUGAGCCUGGAGCCCUUUGGGUAACGGGUGCUUUUAUUAGACCAAGAUCGAUCGGGUUUCGGCCCGUAUUGUGUGGUGACUCUGGAUAACUUUGUGCUGAUCGCAUGGCCACGAGCCGGCGACGUUUCUUUCAAGUGUCUGCCUUAUCAACUUUCGAUGGUAGGUUACUUGCUUACCAUGGUUGUUACGGGUAACGGAGAAUCAGGGUUCGAUUCCGGAGAGGGAGCCUGAGAAACGGCUACCACAUCCAAGGAAGGCAGCAGGCGCGCAAAUUACCCACUCCCGGCACGGGGAGGUAGUGACGAAAAAUAACAAUACGGGACUCUUUUGAGGCCCCGUAAUUGAAAUGAGUACACUCUAAAUCCUUUAACGAGGAUCAAUUGGAGGGCAAGUCUGGUGCCAGCAGCCGCGGUAAUUCCAGCUCCAAUAGCGUAUACUAAAGCUGCUGCGGUUAAAAAGCUCGUAGUUGGAUCUCAGUUCCAGACGAGUAGUGCAUCUACCCGAUGCGACGGCUCGGACUGAACAUCAUGCCGGUUCUUUCUUGGUGCACUUCAUUGUGUGCCUCGAGAUGGCCGGUGCUUUUACUUUGAAAAAAUUAGAGUGCUCAACGCAGGCGAGUCGCCUGAAUAAACUUGCAUGGAAUAAUAGAACAAGACCUCGUUUCUGUUCUGUUGGUUUUUGGAAUACGAGGUAAUGAUUAAGAGGGACGGACGGGGGCAUUCGUAUUGCGGCGCUAGAGGUGAAAUUCUUGGACCGUCGCAAGACGAACUACUGCGAAAGCAUUUGCCAAGAAUGUUUUCAUUGAUCAAGAACGAAAGUCAGAGGUUCGAAGGCGAUCAGAUACCGCCCUAGUUCUGACCAUAAACGAUGCCAACCAGCGAUCCGCCUGAGUUACUCAAAUGACUCGGCGGGCAGCUUCCGGGAAACCAAAGUAUUUGGGUUCCGGGGGAAGUAUGGUUGCAAAGCUGAAACUUAAAGGAAUUGACGGAAGGGCACCACCAGGAGUGGAGCCUGCGGCUUAAUUUGACUCAACACGGGAAAACUUACCCGGCCCGGACACUGGGAGGAUUGACAGAUUGAGAGCUCUUUCUUGAUUCGGUGGAUGGUGGUGCAUGGCCGUUCUUAGUUGGUGGAGCGAUUUGUCUGGUUAAUUCCGAUAACGAACGAGACUCUAGCCUAUUAAAUAGGUGCGGGGUUCCCAGCACCUUACAACCUUCUUAGAGGGACAAGCGGCUCCUAGCCGCACGAAACAGAGCAAUAACAGGUCUGUGAUGCCCUUAGAUGUCCGGGGCCGCACGCGCGCUACACUGAAGGAAGCAGCGUGUCUUUAUCCCUGUCUGAAAAGACUGGGUAACCCGUGGAACUUCUUUCGUGAUUGGGAUAGGGGCUUGCAAUUGUUCCCCUUGAACGAGGAAUUCCCAGUAAGCGCGAGUCAUAAGCUCGCGUUGAUUACGUCCCUGCCCUUUGUACACACCGCCCGUCGCUACUACCGAUUGAAUGAUUUAGUGAGGUCUUCGGACCGAUGUCCGGCGCGGCCUUUCGGUUGCGCCGGUCUGUUGGAAAGAUGACCAAACUUGAUCAUUUAGAGGAAGUAAAAGUCGUAACAAGGUUU
This 1710-nucleotide ribosomal RNA is filed under the name Rhipicephalus microplus (southern cattle tick). Its description in RNAcentral is "SSU rRNA". It matches the Rfam family "Eukaryotic small subunit ribosomal RNA". The record is from RNAcentral. Lineage: Eukaryota; Metazoa; Arthropoda; Arachnida; Ixodida; Ixodidae.